RNAcentral lists this ribosomal RNA (512 nucleotides) under uncultured bacterium. Its description in RNAcentral is "bacterial SSU rRNA". It matches the Rfam family "Bacterial small subunit ribosomal RNA", at positions 15 to 518 of the family's 1533-position model. The record is from RNAcentral.
GAUCCUGGCUUAGGAUGAACGCUAGCGACAGGCUUAACACAUGCAAGUCGAGGGGCAGCAUAGAAGUAGCAAUACUUGGUGGCGACCGGCGCACGGGUGAGUAACGCGUAUGCAACCUACCUAUCGAGAGGGGAAUAACCCGGCGAAAGUCGGACUAAUACCGCAUAAAACAGGGGCACCGCAUGGUGAUAUUUGUUAAAGAAAUUCGCUGAUAGAUGGGCAUGCGUUCCAUUAGGUAGUUGGUGAGGUAACGGCUCACCAAGCCGACGAUGGAUAGGGGAACUGAGAGGUUGGUCCCCCACACUGGUACUGAGACACGGACCAGACUCCUACGGGAGGCAGCAGUGAGGAAUAUUGGUCAAUGGGCGGGAGCCUGAACCAGCCAAGUCGCCGUGAAGGAAGAAGGAUCUAUGGUUCGUAAACUUCUUUUGCAGGGGAAUAAAGUGCAGGACGUGUCCUGUUUUGUAUGUACCCUGAGAAUAAGGAUCGGCUAACUCCGUGCCAGCCGCCGC